AGUGAACGCUGGCGGUAGGCCUAACACAUGCAAGUCGAACGGCAGCACAGGAGAGCUUGCUCUCUGGGUGGCGAGUGGCGGACGGGUGAGGAAUACAUCGGAAUCUACUCUGUCGUGGGGGAUAACGUAGGGAAACUUACGCUAAUACCGCAUACGACCUACGGGUGAAAGCAGGGGACCUUCGGGCCUUGCGCGAUUGAAUGAGCCGAUGUCGGAUUAGCUAGUUGGCGGGGUAAAGGCCCACCAAGGCGACGAUCCGUAGCUGGUCUGAGAGGAGUAUCAGCCACACUGGACCGGAGACACGGUCAAGCACCCUACGGGAGGAAGAAGUGGGGAAAAUUGGAAAAUGGCGCAAGCCUGAUCCAGCCAUACCGCGUGGGUGAAGAAGGCCUUCGGGUUGUAAAGCCCUUUUGUUGGGAAAGAAAUCCAGCUGGCUAAUACCCGGUUGGGAUGACGGUACCCAAAGAAUAAGCACCGGCUAACUUCGUGCCAGCCGCCGCGGUAA
RNAcentral lists this ribosomal RNA (505 nucleotides) under uncultured bacterium. RNAcentral's name for it is "partial 16S ribosomal RNA". It matches the Rfam family "Bacterial small subunit ribosomal RNA", at positions 29 to 523 of the family's 1533-position model. The record is from RNAcentral.